Molecule: ribosomal RNA, 496 nt
Filed under: uncultured bacterium
Lineage: Bacteria
Description: bacterial SSU rRNA
Rfam family: Bacterial small subunit ribosomal RNA
Source: RNAcentral
GACGAACGCUGGCGGUGUGCUUAACACAUGCAAGUCAACGAGAAUUUAUCUUCGGAUAAUAGUAAAGUGGCGAACGGGUGAGUAACGCGUAAAUAACUUGCCUUGGAGAUUGGGACAACAUUGGGAAACCAGUGCUAAUACCAAAUAAUGCAGCGGGCCCUUCGGGGCAUAGUUGUUAAAGUAGGCUUCGGCUUACACUUCAAGAUAGAUUUGCGUCCGAUUAGUUAGUUGGUAGGGUAAUAGCCUACCAAGACCGAGAUCGGUAGCUGGUCUGAGAGGAUGAUCAGCCACACUGGAAUUGAGAUACGGUCCAGACUCCUACGGGAGGCAGCAGUGAGGAAUUUUGCACAAUGGGCGAAAGCCUGAUGCAGCAACACCGCGUGAUUGAUGAAGUUUUUAGGAAUGUAAAAAUCUGUCGUAAGGGAAGAAAUGUUUCGGAUGUUAAUACCAUCUGUCAUUGACGGUACCUUACAAGAAAGGACCGGCUAACUUCGUG